This 889-nucleotide ribosomal RNA is filed under the name uncultured bacterium. RNAcentral's name for it is "bacterial SSU rRNA". It matches the Rfam family "Bacterial small subunit ribosomal RNA", at positions 8 to 916 of the family's 1533-position model. The record is from RNAcentral.
AGAGUUUGAUCCUGGCUCAGGAUGAACGUUGGCGGUGUGCCUAAUACAUGCAAGUCGAACGGAGUUAAUAGCAAUAUUGACUUAGUGGCGAACGGGUGAGUAACGCGUUGGUGAUCUGCCUUGAAGUGUGGAAUAACGCUCCGAAAGGAGCGCUAAUACCGCAUGUGCUCUCAAUUUUUAGAAACUUGAGAGGAAAGGAUUUAUUCGCUUCGAGAGGAGCCUGCGUCCCAUCAGCUGGUUGGUAGGGUAAAGGCCUACCAAGGCAAUGACGGGUAGGGGACCUGAGAGGGUGGCCCCCCACAAUGGAACUGAAACACGGUCCAUACACCUACGGGUGGCAGCAGUAGGGAAUAUUAGAAAUGGACGAAAGUCUGAUCUAGCAACACCGCGUGUGCGAAGAAGGCCUUCGGGUCGUAAAGCACUUUUUGGAAGGAAUAGGAAGGAAUGUACUUCCAGAAUAAGUCUCGGCUAACUACGUGCCAGCAGCCGCGGUAACACGUAGGAGGCAAACGUUAUCCGGAUUUACUGGGCGUAAAGCGCGUGUAGGUGGUUCUGUAAGUAGGGCGUGAAAGCUCCCGGCUCAACUGGGAGAUGCCGUUCUAAACUGCAGAGCUAGAGGAUGGUAGAGGGAGGUGGAAUUCCAGGCGUAGCGGUGGAAUGCGCAGAUAUCUGGAGGAACACCAGUGGCGAAGGCGGCCUCCUGGACCAUUCCUGACACUCAGACGCGAAAGCUAGGGUAGCAAACGGGAUUAGAGACCCCGGUAGUCCUAGCCCUAAACGAUGUAGACUAGGCGUCGGUGGUUUAAUCACCAUCGGUGUCCAAGCAAACGCGAUAAGUCUACCGCCUGGGGACUACGGCCGCAAGGUUAAAACUCAAAUGAAUUGACGG